UCCGGGGGGGGCGAUCGUUAUUCGGAAUUACUGGGCGUAAAGGGCGCGUAGGCGGGUGGACAAGUCUGUCGUGAAAGCCCACGGCUCAACCGUGGAAUUGCGGGAGAUACCGUAUGUCUUGAGUCCGGGAGAGGAGGGUGGAAUUCCCAGUGUAGCGGUGAAAUGCGUAGAUAUUGGGAGGAACACCGGUGGCGAAGGCGGCUCUCUGGACCGGUACUGACGCUGAGGCGCGAAAGCUAGGGGAGAAAACGGG
RNAcentral lists this ribosomal RNA (253 nucleotides) under uncultured bacterium. RNAcentral's name for it is "partial 16S ribosomal RNA". It matches the Rfam family "Bacterial small subunit ribosomal RNA", at positions 524 to 776 of the family's 1533-position model. The record is from RNAcentral.